CAACCCUCAAGUGCUUUAGUACUUGGUGUUGGGGCUUCUGCUGCUCGCAGCAGGCUCUGAAAGAUAGUGGCGAGGUCGCCGUGACCCUGAGCGUAGUAGUUUACACCUCGCUUCUGUGGCUACGGCGGAUUCUCAGCCGUGAAACCCCUAAUUUUCACAA
This 160-nucleotide unclassified non-coding RNA is filed under the name uncultured Conlarium. RNAcentral's name for it is "partial internal transcribed spacer 2". Lineage: Eukaryota; Fungi; Ascomycota; Sordariomycetes. The record is from RNAcentral.